RNAcentral lists this ribosomal RNA (117 nucleotides) under Bacillota bacterium. Lineage: Bacteria; Bacillati; Bacillota. The record is from RNAcentral.
CCUGGUGACUAUGCCGGAGGGGAAACGCCCGUUCCCAUUCCGAACACGGAAGCUAAGCCCUCCAGGGCCGAUGGUACUGCCGGGGCAACCCGGUGGGAGAGUAGGUCGUCGCCAGGA